AGGCAGCAGUGGGGAAUAUUGCACAAUGGGGGAAACCCUGAUGCAGCGACGCCGCGUGAAGGAAGAAGUAUCUCGGUAUGUAAACUUCUAUCAGCAGGGAAGUAUAGUGACGGUACCUGACUAAGAAGCCCCGGCUAACUACGUGCC
This 147-nucleotide ribosomal RNA is filed under the name uncultured bacterium. RNAcentral describes it as "partial 16S ribosomal RNA". It matches the Rfam family "Bacterial small subunit ribosomal RNA", at positions 346 to 509 of the family's 1533-position model. The record is from RNAcentral.